Heterocephalus glaber (naked mole-rat) is the source of this 979-nucleotide long non-coding RNA. NCBI's taxonomy places the organism in Eukaryota, Metazoa, Chordata, Mammalia, Rodentia, Bathyergidae. The record is from Ensembl.
CAAAGCUACAAUGUUAGACACAUACUCUUUCUUUUUUUUCUUUCUUGGGAGAGAAGUUACUAAACUGCUUUGACCUUUGCUGUACUGUAAGUGCUCUGGAGCACAGCAUACCACCGAGCUGUUCUAUUUGUUCUGAACAGCCCUGAGGUGUUGCCAUGGGAGAAAGGAGAAUCUGGUGCUUCUUGUUCUGUCAUCUUGCUGAAGGCCAGUAAUAGAGGAGGACCCCUGUGAAAUUUUGGCUCUAAUGACCUGUGGUUCAAAUGUGCAGCUGAAGACGAGAAUGAAUCUAAAUAGAAGUUUUACUAUUUUCUCCCCAUGCUGUGAUGAAUGCCUUUAAACCACACACGCCAAAGCUUAGACCACUCAUCCAGAUGAUUCAAAAAUGAAGAUCAUCAUUUCACGUGGAGUGAAAACAGAACGUGUUAAAGAAGACAAAGAAUAGUGACCAAAAUGUCAAUUUCAUAGCAAAAGAUAUUCAAGGUGCAACUUCCUGGUAUGGAUUUUCCCCUCUGCCUAUGAACAGCAGAUCUCUCUCAGACUUAUUUGCCCUCCACGGUGUUAGAACUUGGUCAGAACAUUUGGCAGUCCAAUAUCAUCUGCAGAAAACAUACUGGCAAUAUUGACUGUUUGGAUAAUCUUCUCUUGAUACAAAAGGAGAACUCUCAUAUACAAAUGGUUCUAAAGAUAUUAAAGAUUUUGGGUCCAUAAUUGCCAAGGCCUGAAAAUCACCAUGCUUUAAAAACUAUUUGGAAUAAAUGUCACCCUCCACUUUUAUCCUGGUGGGUAUUUAAUUCAUGACCUAUGGGCAUCAAGGGAAAGUGAAAACAAGUUCUUCAGCAAUGAUCUGUUCUGGUAAAGCUAGGAUUAAGAAUAGGAAAGGGAUUUCUUGACUGUGAGCUUUGUACAAAAUCCUCUCUUCUGAUGAGUAACAGUAAAGAUAAAUAUUACUAAAUGACUCUGCCAAAAUUUUUCAUUCUCU